GAUGAACGCUGGCGGCGUGCUUAACACAUGCAAGUCGAACGGAAAGGCCCAAGCUUGCUUGGGUACUCGAGUGGCGAACGGGUGAGUAACACGUGGGUGAUCUGCCCUGCACUUCGGGAUAAGCCUGGGAAACUGGGUCUAAUACCGGAUAGGACCACUUCUUGGAUGUUGUGGUGGAAAGUUUUUUCGGUGUGGGAUGAGCUCGCGGCCUAUCAGCUUGUUGGUGGGGUAAUGGCCUACCAAGGCGUCGACGGGUAGUCGGCCUGAGAGGGUGUACGGCCACAUUGGGACUGAGAUACGGCCCAGACUCCUACGGGAGGCAGCAGUGGGGAAUAUUGCACAAUGGGCGCAAGCCUGAUGCAGCGACGCCGCGUGGGGGAUGACGGCCUUCGGGUUGUAUACUCCUUUCGCUAGGGACGAAGCGUUUUGUGACGGUACCUGGAGAAGAAGCACCGGCUAACUACGUG
Molecule: ribosomal RNA, 467 nt
Filed under: uncultured bacterium
Lineage: Bacteria
Description: partial 16S ribosomal RNA
Rfam family: Bacterial small subunit ribosomal RNA
Source: RNAcentral